This 76-nucleotide transfer RNA is filed under the name Nitrospira bacterium SG8_3. RNAcentral describes it as "tRNA-Ala". It matches the Rfam family "tRNA". From Rfam's summary of the family: Transfer RNA (tRNA) molecules are approximately 80 nucleotides in length. Their secondary structure includes four short double-helical elements and three loops (D, anti-codon, and T loops). Lineage: Bacteria; Pseudomonadati; Nitrospirota; Nitrospiria. The record is from RNAcentral. RNAcentral also lists the same sequence under 10 other names.
GGGGCUGUAGCUCAGCUGGGAGAGCGCAUGAAUGGCAUUCAUGAGGUCGUGGGUUCGAUCCCCAUCAGCUCCACCA